UGCAACCUGAGCUCAGGCGUG
This 21-nucleotide ribosomal RNA is filed under the name Marshallagia marshalli. Its description in RNAcentral is "partial 28S ribosomal RNA". The record is from RNAcentral. Lineage: Eukaryota; Metazoa; Nematoda; Chromadorea; Rhabditida; Trichostrongylidae.